Molecule: long non-coding RNA, 943 nt
Filed under: Astyanax mexicanus (Mexican tetra)
Lineage: Eukaryota; Metazoa; Chordata; Actinopteri; Characiformes; Acestrorhamphidae
Description: lncRNA (ENSAMXG00005004163.1)
Source: RNAcentral
GUUCGCCUGUCGUUGAAUCUGUUUCUGUCUCUGUUCCUGUGGUUCUUCUGCUGAUUGGAGGAUCUGUAGUGGUGCUAUACAGACUCAGAUACUACAAAACACAAGACUCUUCAUCUUCUAGCCAACAUCAAGAAAAAACUAAAACAGCUGAUGAUGAUGAAGAUUAUGAUCCACCUGGAGACCAGAGCAUCAACAUGGAUCCAAUCUACGAGGAGAUAGACCUCAACACCAACCAAUCAGAAGCAAUAUACCAGAGUCUGAUCCCCAAUGCCAACCAAUCAGAUUCAGUCUAACAAACCCUAAACCCCAAUGCCAACCAAUCAGAUUUAGUCCAACAGAGCCUAAACCCCAACAACAACCAAUCAGAUUCAAUCGUCAAUUAUCAAUAGAAUAGAGACAGACAGAUUCUGAAACACAACAAAUUAGACUUAGUCUAAUAGAGUCUAGGCCAUUACACCAAUCAAUCAGAUUCAGUCCAACAUAACCUAACCCCAACACCAACCAGUCAGAUUCAAUAUACUAGAGUCUGGACCUCAACACCAACCAAUCAGAUCCAGUCUACCAGAGCCAAAAUCCAACUCAAACCAAUCAGAUUCAGUCUACCAUAGCCAAACUCCAACUCAAGCCAAUCAGAUUCAAUAUACUAGAGUCUCUGCCUCAACACCAACCAAUCAGAUUCAUUAUACCAGAGCUCGAACCCUAAUACGAACUAAUCCGAUUCAGUCUACUAGAGCCUAAAUCCCAACACCAGCCAAUCUAAAUUAAUAUAGCAGUGUCUGAACCCCAACACCAGCCCUUUGUCACCCGGACUCAAAUCUACCCUAUCUACUACUUAUCUACCAGAAUUCACACAAAAUUAGAGUCAUAUUUUGUAAAUGUGCUGAGUGGCAUGGCUUUUGUUUGUGGUAAUAAAUCUCGCUUUUAAUUUUUAUAAUUUAGAUUG